Molecule: ribosomal RNA, 468 nt
Filed under: uncultured bacterium
Lineage: Bacteria
Description: partial 16S ribosomal RNA
Rfam family: Bacterial small subunit ribosomal RNA
Source: RNAcentral
GACGAACGCUGGCGGCGUGCUUAACACAUGCAAGUCGAACGGAAAGGCCCUGCUGUUGUGGGGUGCUCGAGUGGCGAACGGGUGAUUAACACGUGAGUAACCUGCCCUUGACUUUGGGAUAACUUCAGGAAACUGGGUCUAAUACCGGAUCGGAGCUCCUGCUGCAUGGUGGGGGUUGGAAAGUUUCGGCGGGUGGGGAUGGACUCGCGGCUUAUCAGCUUGUUGGUGGGGUAGUGGCUUACCACGGCUUUGACGGGUAGCCGGCCUGAGAGGGUGACCGGCCACCAUGGGACUGAGAUACGGCGCAGACGCCUACGGGAGGCAGCAGGGGGGAAUAUUGCACAAUGGGCCGAAGCCUGAUGCAGCAACGCCGCGUGCGGGAUGACGGCCUUCGGGUUGUAAACCGCUUUCGCCUGUGACGAAGCGUGAGUGACGGUAAUGGAUAAAGAAGCACCGGCUAACUACGUG